RNAcentral lists this long non-coding RNA (216 nucleotides) under Homo sapiens (human). RNAcentral describes it as "HSALNT0293372". The record is from RNAcentral. Lineage: Eukaryota; Metazoa; Chordata; Mammalia; Primates; Hominidae.
UUUGAAGACCGUCACCAUUGGUUAACAUUUCCUGAAUGACAAGCAAUAGUAGCCAGAAUCCUGGAGUGAAUAGACAUGGAGAAGAGCUGCCUUUUCUUCUCAACUGACAAGUCACGUGGAGGAAAUAAAUCCCUUGAGGACAGUGAAGAAAUAACUUUGAGAUCACCUUCCCAUCCUUCCGAUUUCUUCAAUGAGAGCUUAAAUGGAUUUUCAAAA